UGAAAUGUUGUUCAUAAAACUGGCUGCAUAACAGUCAUGAAAUAGAAAAGACAGUGUUGACAGUUGUGAUCCGUGCUGCACAUGUAGUUCUGCAAGGCCACAUGCAGGAGCCUGCAGCCGCAGGUCAAAGUCCACGACUGACUGGGUGUCGUUAACACCCAGGUGAAUGUUUGCUCUACUCUACCUGUUCAGCCAACAAGUGAUCCUCAGUCCAGGGAAUCGGUUUGAAUCUGCUGCGUCACAGUCCACUUUCGCAGUCACACAAGCGUGACGCCUGAGUCCUAAUGGAGCUCCAGCCGAACAUGAAGACUGUGGUCCUGGUUACUGUUCUGCUCUGUGGGGGGUGCUCAGCUGACUCCAGCAGGAGGCUCAGUGUGCUCGUGGGCACAGACGUGACUGUCAGCUGCCUGUUCCACAGACUGACCCAGCAGGUGGAGUGGAGCACUCUGACUGUCGAGUGGAACAUGGUGGACAAACACACAGAGAAGAAAAUCCUAUACACAUUUGAGGACAGCACAGCACGUGUGAACAGAGACCACUCUGUGGUGGACAGAAUGGGGCUGCUCCAGAGCAACGCAUCUCUGCAGUUACACAAUGUGACUGUGGGCGAUGAAGGGCUGUACACCUGCAGGGUCAUCACACCUGUGGUGUACACAGAGACCACGUCACUGGAAGUGCUGGCCCGGCCCUCAGUGUCACUCCCAGAACAGGCGGCAGUGACAGAGGGUGAGGAGAAGACCAUACAGUGUGACAUCACAGGGUUCUACCCAGAGAAGCUGGCUGUCACAUGGUAUAUCCAGAAUGGCUCCCGCACCGUCCACACAGGCAUCAGCCAGCUGUCCCGUGUCUGCACAGAAAUGGCCGUUCACAACCCAGAUGGCACCUACAGUAUUCGCAGUGGCAUCACCCUGCACUCCUCCACCGUGAGGGGUGGAGAGGUUCACAUCAUCUGCCAGGUGGAGCACAGCACCUACACCUGGCCCUACAACAGAUCUGUGACUGUGACUGUUCAAGCUCCAUCACAGCCGCUCUACAGUGCUGUCACUCUGAUAGCUGUCACCAGUGUCAUCAGUCUGCUGCUGAUCACCUCUGUUAUUGGAGCCACUCUGCUUCUCCACAUGUACUUCUGCAAAGCUCCACCUAGUGUGUCUGAAAUCAGCCAGUCCAGCAUCAUAUAUGCUCAGGCGCCAACCCAGCUCAGGUGCACCGUCCGAGGAGCAAGGCAACGAGAGAUCAUGGUGAAGUGGUUCAGACUGAGGAGCUGUCCAGACUCGGUGGUCCUGUCAGAGUCUGUCUCUCUGCUGCUCAGUGAGGAUUUGAGUGAACAGGCUUGUCUCAAUUCAGAUGGGAAACACCACACAUCUGUCCUCACUGUGUGUCUGAGUGUGACUGACGACCUGAACAGGUUUCAGUGUGUGGUGCUGUGCAGGGGGAGGAGCUUCAACAGAGAGACCACAGUCAGGGUCAAAGUGGAGCCAUCUUUCCUCCAGAUCUCCAGCAUCCCUCAGGUCCCCAGGGUGGAGCGUCUGCUGGUUCUCUGCUGUAGGGUGGAGAACUUCUUCCCCCAGGAUGUCAGCCUGGAGUGGUCCAGGAACGAUGGGGAGCAGGUCCGCACUGUCACACACUUUGGUCCAUUCUCCAACCGCAGCCGCCUCUACAGCGUGUGGAGUAAGAUCCAGCUGGUCAUGGCCAGAGAGGACGAGAGGGCCAUCUACACCUGCCGUAUUUACCACUCCAGCUUCCCCGAGCCGGGCUUCAGAGACGUCCUGUACCACAUCAACACUCAAGGAACUCCUCCUAAUGUGAUGUUCAUCGACUGUGAGCCGCUGUGUCCUCUGCUGAGUGAAGAGUGUAUCCUGCACCUGUGCAUCAAGGAUUUCUGUCCUGAGGAUGUCUCUGUGACUUGGACCAAAAACGGGGAUACGCUUCUCUCCGGCGUCUUCAACACUCCCCCCAGCCUCAACAUCAAUGGCCUCUACUCCAUGUUCAGUUUUCUCAGAAUCACUCCCAACAAGGACGACCAGGGCUCAGAGUUCAGGUGCCGGGUUGUCCACAUUGCUCAGAGGGAGCCUGAGGAGAGGCUCUUCACUUUGCCACACCUGCAUCUGACCAACGGCUACUGAUGUCACACUGUCAACUGAUGAUAAAGUCAUACGUGGUCUAGUCAUUACUGUCCACCCGUCAGUUCUGCAGUCAGAAAGAGUGUCUUGUUUCUAUGAAUUAAAUCAGAUUGAUGGAUGUUUAUUCACACUGGACAUCAGAGAUAAUGAUAUCCCCAUGAAGUGGAGGUCACACUGAAUCUAAAAAUAUGUGAUUAACAUGUGUGUUCACAUUUGUGAACUGUCAUCAGUUAUGACUCUGAAGAGAAGGAGUGUGAGUUUUGAGCAGCUGCAGCUGCCUUUAUCUGACACAGGAUCUUUGCCUCAAAGUACUAAGAUGGUGAAAAUGGUCAACAUUAUAUCUGCUAGUCAUGUCAGCAUAGUCACGGUGAGCAUGUUACUUACUUUAGCAUUUAGCCCAAAGUAUUGAUCGUAAUCCCUUUUUUAAAACUGUCCAUUGUGAGUCUGACUGUGUUACAGCAGUGACAUUAUGAAUCUGUGAAGGACUCUAUUAACAAAUAAAGAUCUGGCCUGUUGUUUUGUUGUUGGCCAUAAGUUUGAGGGCAGUGGACAGUUCAUCCUGCAUUAUUGGUGUAUCCAGCAUGUUGGUUUGUUCUUGACUAAGCUGUGGUAGGUCAAUUCUGUUGAGAAAUGAUUUAAUAUCCUUUUUGAUUCAGAUGGAGUGGAGGUUGCCAGUGGGAUGUUUUCCACCUGGAUUGCUGGUCUGGAGAUCUUACUUAGCUGGCUGCUUGAGUUUGCUUCACUCUCUCUCAGCUCCCACAUAUGUGCUCUUGGGUUUUGAUUUGUCCUUGGUUAUAGCAUUUAACUGUUUUCUAACAUUACCAGAUUUUGUUUUGUUUAUCAUAGUUUGUUUUGUAAAUUGUUUCAAAUGACAGUAUCUGUGACUGUUUUGUCUACUCAUUAAUAAAAACAAAGUUUGUGUCCAUA
This is a non-coding RNA of Seriola aureovittata, 3047 nucleotides long. NCBI's taxonomy places the organism in Eukaryota, Metazoa, Chordata, Actinopteri, Carangiformes, Carangidae. The record is from the annotation of a RefSeq genome assembly.